UGUGGGUCACGACCAAGAAGCAGGAAGGAGAAGAAACCCUUCUCCUUCAUAAUACCUCAAGAAAUUCAAGGAUUUAAGGUGUUGUUGAUCCAGAAAUCGAAUGCAUGUGACCAAAUUCUCAACCAUCUAAGGGUUUCCUAUAUAGGGUCGGUUCGGGUUAGAAUGAGAAUGAACAAGUGAAGUUUUCUUAAUGUUCCAUGUAAACUGGUUAUGAUAGAAUGAGUUGGAGAGAAAGAUGUAACGAAGUUGGUUACAUAAACAAGAAAGUCGAGUAUAAGAAUGACUUAGUCAUGUAUGGUUCAAAAUUUAAAUGGUGAUUACUGGUUCACCAAGUUCAUUAAUGCGUUAGUAAAUCUCAAGUUUAAAUUCUAUCGCAUAGCUCGGAACCGAACACACCUUGAACGCCUUUAAG
Molecule: long non-coding RNA, 412 nt
Filed under: Helianthus annuus (common sunflower)
Lineage: Eukaryota; Viridiplantae; Streptophyta; Magnoliopsida; Asterales; Asteraceae
Description: sRNA HanXRQr2_Chr12g0558431
Source: RNAcentral